Molecule: ribosomal RNA, 394 nt
Filed under: uncultured bacterium
Lineage: Bacteria
Description: partial 16S ribosomal RNA
Rfam family: Bacterial small subunit ribosomal RNA
Source: RNAcentral
CCUACGGGAGGCAGCAGUGAGGAAUAUUGGUCAAUGGGCGCGAGCCUGAACCAGCCAAGUCGCGUGAGGGAUGACUGCCCUACGGGUUGUAAACCUCUUUUGUCAGGGAACAAAGUCAGGCACGUGUGCCCGGUUGGAUGUACCUUAAGAAAAAGGAUCGGCUAACUCCGUGCCAGCAGCCGCGGUAAUACGGAGGAUGCGAGCGUUAUCCGGAUUUAUUGGGUUUAAAGGGAGCGUAGGGGGGUUGUUAAGUCAGGUGGGAAAGUUCGGGGCUCAACCCUAGCAGUGCAGUUGAAACUGGCAGUCUUGAGUGCAGGUGAGGUAGGCGGAAUGCGUGGUGUAGCGGUGAAAUGCAUAGAUAUCACGAAGAACUCCGAUUGCGAAGGCAGCUUAC